This is a long non-coding RNA of Dunckerocampus dactyliophorus (ringed pipefish), 6099 nucleotides long. RefSeq lists it as uncharacterized. The transcript has 3 exons. Lineage: Eukaryota; Metazoa; Chordata; Actinopteri; Syngnathiformes; Syngnathidae. The record is from RefSeq and is a predicted model, not a curated record.
GGAAAUAGCUACCAGGAAGAGGCUGACACUAUCGUUCGGGAGCGCAGAAGAACUUACUGCACAGGUGCCAGCUACCGCUAACGUGAAGCAUUGCAUUCUUGUACGUGGAUAUCGAACGGAACUGGCUUCCAUUGAACCCUGGCCCCAUGGCCCUGUGUUUACUACAGCAGUGAUCCCCAACCCCCAGGGCGCAGCCCGGUACCGGGCCGUGGGUUAUUUGGUACCGGCCACACAGAAAGAAAAAAAAUCAUUUCCAUUGUGUUUUAUUUUGAAAAGUGGCCGGAUUCUCUCUGUUACAUCCGUCUCACUUGACGCAUGUCCAUUGUGCGUGUGCUAACUUUCUCUCGCAGCACAGAUAGACUACUACUGUAUUUUUAGCAUUUUUCUUUCACCUCAUAUUUGGUUGUCAAAUGCGGAUAUUAUGUGGGAAUGCAUGAAGGUAAGUUUUGAUGACUUAUUGACUGCUAAUGUGCGCAUUUGUCUCAAGUUAAUUCAUGCUAGCACACUGCCUUUUAGCACACACGUGCUAAAUAUUUGGGAAAAAAUAACACUAGAAAUGGAAAAACAAGCAGAAAAGUGUAAAAAAAAAAGAACUCUUACCAAAAAAAACAACAAUUUGACGAUUGGAUACUUAUUCAACCAUGAAAAUCCUUAUUCUAAGACGGCCUAAUGCAUACAUGUACAUAUGCAACAUGCCUGCCCAGAGGAUAACCUCUCCAUCUACUUGCAACAGCGCACUAAAUCCAUGACUCCUCUAGCAUUAGCUAGCAUGUAAGUGAUGAAUAUGCAUCCGCCGUGACAUUGCAGCCAUCUUGUUUACGUGUGUGAAAUGGACAGCCGAUGGCGUGCAUUAAUGCGACGUCGGAGAACGUAAAGCCGAGCGAUUUGUGAGGUCUGAUGGUUUUCGAGGAGUAAUUUUGUCAUGCAAAUGAAUUACGUGCUAAUAUUGUUUUGAGAAGCCAAACUCUUUACUUCUUAAGUAACCCCAAUUACUAAGUGGAACUACAUUUGUCAUCACCGGAGGCCGACCAAAACUGGGCUCACGGGACCGAGUGCAGGUCAGUCUCUGUUGAUGUACUACGCUGCUGAUGGGGAUGUCCUACAACUUCAUGUCAAAACAUCCCAACUAUUCCUUUAACACUGCAUGAAGUCAGCCGUGGCAUGUCCAACAUGAGUGGGGAAAAAGUUCUCCUCCGAUCCCAUGUGGAAGUGGUAAGAUUCUGGCUUAAGUUUUUAGAAGAAAUGCGUUUGAGACUUAACUGUUUAGCUUGUUGUUAGCUGUCUCAAGUCUCUGAGUUGGGCAAUGUGAUGUAAACAAUGAAUAACAGGAGUGCAAAGGUGACUGUAGGGGUGGUAUUUCAUGUGCACAGGGCUCUGGUAAUGUUAACACCUGAAGUCCUAAGUUUUCUCUGCUGAAUGAAAUUCCAUUUAUUGACAUUCAAUCCUAAAUUGUGGAAAUGAAUUUAUCGUGGUGAGUCUGGAGCCAUCUGAUGGUGAUAAAUGAGGGAUGUCUGACCUUCCUGGUAUAUUUUGCAGCAAUGUCAUUGGGUCAGUCCCCUCCCUUUCUGCCUGUGGCAAAGAGCUGUGACCUUUCUGAAAGGUCCGUAUAUUAUUACACCACCUUUCCCGAGAGAGUGGAUAAAAUUGCACGGGGGGGGCGGCACAGCAAAACCUCACCUCUGAAAUCUUUCCAAAACAGGAAGGAAAAAAGUAAUAGCUUGCACUUUUUUGUUGUUGGUGUAAAAGCUGUUAAUGGCAUCUCAGCGGGCUGCCAUGAGCACGCUGGCGACCUGUUAGACGUCUUCACAGGUACGCUUCCACUUGGCUGGCGCUGAUUUAGACAAGCACGGUCAAAGAGAAUCAUGCAGCAGCACCCUUUGGAGGCGCCACAAAAGGACAGUUUGUACGAGUGGAAGCAGCAAACGCACACCAUUCCUCCACUACGGCCUUGUGGGUGCAGUCAUCCUCUCACAUUUCUGCUUUAGCUUCAUUCAGCUGUUUUUCUACACCGGGGGGGCUUUUUAUUCCUUGCUUGCUUCUGUUGAAUUUUGUGCUGAUUUUGAACAACACAAAAAAACUUGCUUGUUCAGGUUUGCUUGUCCCUUUAAAGCAACUGUAAGGAAUAAAUGUGUUUUUUACCCCUCGGAGUGUCACUGACUUGGAGCAAGUUCAUCAUUGACAGAGGCUGUUCCGGUUAGAUUUGAUGUACAUUCAUCAUGUGCUGGAAUGUCUUAUUCAAUUUGGGCCCUUAAAGGGGUAGUUGGUAUUUUUUGACAUGACGUGAGGGAAGACAUCGAGUGGGGACUCAAGCUAACCCUGCUGUCGGGCCUGCACACAGCUGCAGAUAUCUGCUGCAGCUCACGUUAUGUUACAAACAGUCCCUUUAAAUAUACAGUAAGAUAUUUUCGCAAUGUGGGUCAUUACUUGUUGGUGAGGGGCGAUGGUGGGUCCCGCAGCCCAACCAGUUAAGAAGCACUGGUCACGCUCGCCCAGAAGCUUACCGUCAUUUCUGGUUGUCUCACGAUGGGGAGUGGGAAUUGUGAGCUAUUUGGUUUGGACUGUGGAGUGUACAUGAUCACAAAUAGAUGUGCACACAAAGAUGCAAACACACACACACAUGUAGUACACCCACGUAGUACACCCAGGUGGAUGCAAAAUGAAUAAACAUCUUCUACUGAGGUUUUAGCCAAGUGUGUCUCUACUCUUAGACACGUUCUUAACUGAAGCGUCACUGUUGUCUUUCUAACGUGUCUGCUGCAUUCAUCAAUUAUUUGGAAUUUUCUAAAAAAAAAAAAAAAAAAAAAAAACUGUGGCAUUCCCACGGCCUUGUCUGCAUUUUUGGAAGCAUGUUUUGGUUCUUUCUCCCCCAUCAGAUGAGUGCCUCUCAAAACAUCAGCCCCGUGCAUUAUUAAUAUUUAUCAUUCACACAUCCUGCCCUCAAUUAUUCUACACGACGGGAUGAGAUUUUGUCUCUGACUGAAUAAAUGGGACGGUGUUUAUUUGGAAAAAUGGGGCGCCACUGAAGGCGGCCUUAUUUGGACCUCACGAAAGCAGGGUUUUUUUUAAUAUCAUUGACUCAGACAAUGACCUUCAAUUCACACCACCACUGACCACUCUGCUUUCCUCACGGCCAUGUGGAAGCAUCACGUAGACAAACAUCUCAUUAGCUUGAAUUGCCAAACUAGAUUGGAUUGUUAGUAGGAUGAAGUCGCUGGCCAAGACACAGCAGGGAAGAACAAGCUCUCUCCAGCCUUGGCGUGCUACGGGAUGCUGCAGCAUUGGACUCCUACGAAGGAGAACAUCUCAGAGAUCAGCAACUGAAACGGAAGGACUUGACUUGUGUGCAUGAGAUUUUAUGUUUUUGUAUGUUUUAGGGCUGCGAUUAAUUAACCGUGGAAAAAUGACAUUAAUCGCAAGUAAAUAUUUGAAUGGAUGGUCAGCCAUAUAAACAGUAACGUAUGUUUGGAACGCAGCGAGAGAAAAGACAAAAUGACAGGAAAACAUGGAUUUUCCAUGAAUACAUUUUUAUAGUAAUAAGGGAAAAAAUCACAAUAAUACAAGACGUGAACAAUGUCACCAUAUUGCAAUAAAACAACAAGAAGUUGGAAUAUCGUGACAAGAUAGUCGCUAUUGCAGCUUUUUUAAUAGUUAUGUAAUGAGAAAACAAUGACAUUACACACAAAAUAUUUGUACUGGGGGGGAAUGACAUUACAGGAAAGUAUUUGUACUGGGAAAUUACAAUAAUAUUGCAAAAAAAUGCAUUUGACAAGAAUAAAAAGAACAAAACGUUUUAGAAGUAUUAAGUUGCAACAUAAUGAAAGCAAAAAAGAUCACAUGAUUGGAGGAAAAGAAUGCAGUUUACAAGAUGAAAUGAUACAAGAAGAAGAAAUUACAUUACACAAAAAACCUUUACAAUGUGUUGAGGAAAAAAGCCAUCAUAAUUAUGACUUUUUAUAUCAUUUUGACUUUUAAUUGCAUAAUUAUGACUUCUCAUAAGUUGGACUUUUUAAUCCCAUAAUUAUGGCUUUUUUCAUAAUGACUUUUAUCCCAUAAUUGACUUCUCAUAAUUUUGACUUUCCCAUCUCAUGAUUAUGACUGUCUUAUAAUUACGACUAGCUCAGAAUUAUGACUUUCCUAUCAUUUUGACUUUUUGUCUCAUAAUGAUGACUUUUUGUCUCAUAAUGAUGACUUUUUGUCUCAUAUUGAUGACUUUUUGUCUCAUAAAGAUGACUUUUUGUCUCAUAUUGAUGACUUUUUGUCUCAUAAUGAUGACUUUUUGUCUCAUAAAGAUGACUUUUUGUCUCAUAUUGAUGACUUUUUGUCUCAUAAAGAUGACUUUUUGUCUCAUAUUGAUGACUUUUUGUCUCAUAAUGAUGACUUUUUGUCUCAUAAAGAUGACUUUUUGUCUCAUAUUGAUGACUUUUUGUCUCAUAAAGAUGACUUUUUGUCUCAUAAAGAUGACUUUUUGUCUCAUAAUGAUGACUUUUUGUCUCAUAAAGAUGACUUUUUGUCUCAUAUUGAUGACUUUUUGUCUCAUAAUGAUGACUUUUUGUCUCAUAAUGAUGACUUUUUGUCUCAUAAAGAUGACUUUUUGUCUCAUAUUGAUGACUUUUUGUCUCAUAAAGAUGACUUUUUGUCUCAUAAAGAUGACUUUUUGUCUCAUAAUGAUGACUUUUUGUCUCAUAAAGAUGACUUUUUGUCUCAUAAAGAUGACUUUUUGUCUCAUAAAGAUGACUUACCAUUGGGAUUUUUAAUGUAUUUAUUCUUUGAGUGGCCGAAACGGGCUUCCAUAGCUGAACCUAAUGGAUGCUAGCUUGUAAUCCUAAAAUAAAAAAGCAGCAUUUAAGCCAAGUCCUCGUGAUUCCCCAUGUACGAUACUGAAGUGUAAUAUCAGGUCUAUCUGUUGGAUGGUGAUAUCGGUGAAAAUGAAGCGAGAGCAGGAAAGUGUUCAUGCUGUGAUAUUUGAAGCCAAAGUUUGACUCCAAGGCUUUUGCUUCCAAACUGACCGUAUUCGUGCUCACCCAAAGAUUACGUAUGUUUGUUUUGCCGCACGCAGACAGUCGUCCUGAACUGUCGACCCCAUUGUGUGAGCACUUGGCAGGUGACCCCCACGGGCCGACCGGAUGACAUAGGUGAUGAGCCUCUAUAGGAGGCAGGGAGGAGGGACGGUGACAUCACUUACACUCAGCCCACGGGGAGGAUGUGAGAUAGACACCCACAAUCUUGUUUGUUUUCAAUUAGGAGGAAGUUGACGUGGAGAAGUGGAGAUAAGGAAAACAAUACAUCAUGUGCUCAUUUGAUGAUGAUUAUUAUUCAACAUCACCACAAAUAUGGAAAGCAGACACCUGACAGACAGCGAAGUGCAGUUCCAAAGUUGUUGGCCUACGGCGAGUGCACGUUUCACCCCUGUGUGUUUAUUGUGGCUGGGGUGUGCACAAGGACCUGUCCUCACGGUUGCUGUCCUCCGCCAGACGCCCUGCCUAAAACCAGUGGUGACAUCUGCCGUCCAGAAGUUGGGUGUUCACGUUGAAGCUUGAGGAUGGGUCCCAAAACACCAGAGCAUUAAUGGGACGUCAUCAUCAAGGUCCGCUACGUACCGCAGUUUAAGGUCACCGCUCAGUUCAUUUUUACCGAGCCCCCAAAGGGACAUGACCAGACUUUUGGUCCCAAAAAAAAAUUUUUAUUUGUCUUUUUUGUUGUUGUUGCCAAAAAUAGGCCGUUUCUUUCUGCAGAAAACAUCUCAUUCACUCUAAGUUGGGAAGCAGUUCUACAUCGUUUUCAUAAGUUCUACUUGCCCCCACUCCAUUUUGAGCCUCAAAUAGGUCUAAUUAUGUACUGUAUUAUUUCCUUUCUUUCUCUUUUUUCCAGUCUAUUGUGGCCUUGAUUGUGCUCCCUUCUGUAUGUAUUCUAUUGUUUAAUAUUGCUCCAGUACACUAUUUGCUCCAAAUAAAUAAGACAUGAAAUUGUAGUUUAUUGUUUUACUGAAGCUGUUUGACAAACAUUGACAUUUUUUUGCUACUUGAACAGAAUAUUCAAGCGGCAAGCUGGUGUUUGUGCACUCAUCUGCUCUGGCGCUUCAAAUCUGUUUCUGAAUAAAGA